ACUCCCAGAUGAGAACACAGGCAGGCUGACUCUUGAGUCCAGCCUUGUGGAACCCAGAGAAGAGGGCCCAGGUAAGCCAUGGCUAGACUCCUGACUGACAGAAAUUGUGACAUCACACAUGUGUUAUUUUAAGCUACUAAGUUGGUGGUAAUUUGUUGUGCAACAAUAGAAUACUCAUAUAGCUUAGCUGAAUCAUGAUUAACCACUGGAAGAAGAAGGAAGCCAAAGUAUCUGAUGCACUGGAGAAUGAAAACCCGUUCAAAAUCAGAAGUAUAGAGAAGUUUUCUGUAAAAUGGAAAUGAGUAUCAUGAAGUUUUAAAUGAACAGUGUAAAACAGAAGACAUCAGCAUUCAUUAGGUCCCAGACCUCUUUGAGAAUCUGAUGAAAUUCUGGACAACCUCUCCUCCCACAAACAAGAUGUACUAGAAUACCUACACAUAAAAUGUUGCAUUCAAUUUUGGAAUGUGAAGAGAUCAUUUGAAGCCGAUCCAGAGGCCUCUAAGGUAGGACUUGACUGGUGCAGUAUUGGUGGCUGCUGGGUCAGAUGAGCUCCCUGCUAUUCCAAGAAACAAUACAUGUUUGCAGCCACUAAGAUUUGAGGACUUUUGUUAUUACUGCCUAUCCUGACAGACUCAGGUGCUACAACUAUUUAAGGGCUGACCGGAUCUCACUCUGGCACCUAGACUGGAGGGUACUGGCAUGAACUCCUGGGCUCAGAUGUCCUCCCACCUCCACCUUCUGAGUAGCCGGAAUUACAGGAAUGAACCAUCAUGCUCAGAUUUCAAGCUCCCUGAAGAUGAAGGCUGAAUCCUACACCUCGCUUGUAUCCUCCAUGGCUCAUUGAACAAGUGCUAGCUAGCUACAUGGAGACUGCUCAAUAAAUAUUGAAUAACUCACGAGGGACUCAAUAAAUAACGAUUGCUUAAUUGAUUAGCUCCGUCAAUAAAUCUUGCUUUGAACAGAGGUACAGCCAUUGAAGAUACUCAAAAGGCAAUCUCGGUCACUGUGCCUCUGGAUAGGGGAAAGCUCCAUGAAUGUAAGAUCUGGUGGGAGAAGGCAAGUUAUUUAACCUCUCUAAGCCCCGGGAGCUUCAUCUGUAAAAUGGGAAAAUACUGUAGUGCUUCCGUGUCAUUGUCACUGUGACAAUGUAAUGAGGAUGAUGCACAGAAGGCAUUUAUCACACUGCCUAGUCCAUUAUAAAUUCUUAAUAAACAUUAAUUGAUAUUAGCUACUCAUAGAUCUUAAGAACUGGAUUGAAAGAAACACCAUGAGAAAACUUUCAAUCUGUAGCAAUAUUACCCAAUAGCUUCA
Molecule: long non-coding RNA, 1311 nt
Filed under: Homo sapiens (human)
Lineage: Eukaryota; Metazoa; Chordata; Mammalia; Primates; Hominidae
Description: HSALNT0133911
Source: RNAcentral